Molecule: ribosomal RNA, 253 nt
Filed under: uncultured bacterium
Lineage: Bacteria
Description: partial 16S ribosomal RNA
Rfam family: Bacterial small subunit ribosomal RNA
Source: RNAcentral
UACGUAGGGUGCGAGCGUUAAUCGGAAUUACUGGGCGUAAAGCGUGCGCAGGCGGUUUUGUAAGCCAGAUGUGAAAGCCCCGGGCUCAACCUGGGAAUGGCAUUUGGGACUGCAAGGCUUGAGUGCGGCAGAGGAGACUGGAAUUCCUGGUGUAGCAGUGAAAUGCGUAGAUAUUGGGAGGAACACCAGUGGCGAAGGCGGCUCGCUGGACCGGUUCUAACGCUGAGGCGCGAAAGCGUGGGGAGCAAACAGG